AUACCUUUCUCGGCCUUUUGGCUAAGAUCAAGUGUAGUAUCUGUUCUUAUCAGUUUAAUAUCUGAUACGUGGGACAUCGUCCCACAUGAUAUUAAAUUAAUUUUUUAAGGGGGAGGGUCCACCACAAUAGCUUGCUAUUGGGAUCCUCGAGCGUCGCCCUAGCGUUGCACUACUGCUUGGGCCUGGCGCACCCCUC
RNAcentral lists this small nuclear RNA (196 nucleotides) under Vitis vinifera (wine grape). Its description in RNAcentral is "U2 spliceosomal RNA". It matches the Rfam family "U2 spliceosomal RNA". Rfam says of the family: U2 is a small nuclear RNA (snRNA) component of the spliceosome (involved in pre-mRNA splicing). Complementary binding between U2 snRNA (in an area lying towards the 5' end but 3' to hairpin I) and the branchpoint sequence (BPS) of the intron results the bulging out of an unpaired adenosine, on the BPS, which initiates a nucleophilic attack at the intronic 5' splice site, thus starting the first of two transesterification reactions that mediate splicing. The record is from Rfam by way of RNAcentral. Lineage: Eukaryota; Viridiplantae; Streptophyta; Magnoliopsida; Vitales; Vitaceae.